Molecule: ribosomal RNA, 440 nt
Filed under: uncultured bacterium
Lineage: Bacteria
Description: partial 16S ribosomal RNA
Rfam family: Bacterial small subunit ribosomal RNA
Source: RNAcentral
CCUACGGGAGGCAGCAGUGGGGAAUAUUGCACAAUGGGGGAAACCCUGAUGCAGCGACGCCGCGUGAGUGAAGAAGUAAUUCGUUAUGUAAAGCCCUAUCAGCAGGGAAGAAAAUGACGGUACCUGAGUCAGAAGCCCCGGCUAACUACGUGCCAGCGGCCGUGGUAAUACGUAGGGGGCAAGCGUUAUCCGGAUUUACUGGGUGUAAAGGGGGCGUAGACGGGAGUGCAAGUCUGGAGGGAAAGGCGGGGGCUCAACCCCCGGACUGCUCUGGAAACUGUACGGCUUGAGUGCAGGAGAGGUAAGUGGAAUUCCUAGUGUAGCGGUGAAAUGCGUAGAUAUUAGGAAGAACACCAGUGGCGAAGGCGGCUUACUGGACUGUAACUGACGUUGAGGCUCGAAAGCGUGGGGAGCAAACAGGAUUAGAUACCCGAGUAGUC